This 674-nucleotide long non-coding RNA is filed under the name Homo sapiens (human). RNAcentral's name for it is "lymphatic endothelial transcriptional regulator lncRNA 1". Lineage: Eukaryota; Metazoa; Chordata; Mammalia; Primates; Hominidae. The record is from RNAcentral.
ACAGAGUCUCUCCUGUUGCCCAGGCUGGAGUACAGCCGCGCAAUCUCAGCUCACUGCAACUUCUGCCUCCCAGGUUCAAUAGAAUCUCCUGCCUCAGCCUCCCAAGUAGCUGGGAUUACAUGCAUGUGCCACCACGCACGGCUAGAGAACUAUUGAUGAGAUGAAGUGAUGCAUCUUCAAGUUAACUAGUACCUGUCUGUUCUUCUACAUUGUACAUUAGAUAACUCACCAACUCCUCAGAAGACUGAAGCCUCAGCAGUCCCCAUGAGUCCCUACAGCCACAAUAAAUUGAAUUCUGCCAAAAAUCUUAAUAAGCUUGGAAGAAGACCUUCAGCUCCUGAUGAGAACCCAGCCAGAAACAAGAUGAGAACCCAGAAACAAGAUUUUCAUCUUAUUUCAACCUGAGCAGAGAACCCAGAGGAGCCCUGGCCAGAUUUUUGGUCUACAGGAUUGAGAAGACACCUGCCUGAGGGUCUUAUAGCUAAUGGACUGCAGAAGACUUGAGUCAUCAUUCAAAUUCAGUAGCCAUCCUCUGAUGUCCAGUUGAAGAUUGGUGAUUCCAGAAUAGCUCGCAUUGCCCCAGUUGACUUGCCACACAGCUUCUUUCAGGACUUGAAAAUGUCCUAGCCACCCCCAUCUUACCUCCUACUUCCAAUGCCUUUUAAGAUAGAAAA